UACGGAGGGGGCCAGCGUUGUUCGGAAUCAUUGGGCGUAAAGGGCGCGUAGGCGGCCGAUCAAGUCCGACGUGAAAUUCCCCGGCUCAACCGGGGGCCUGCGUCGGAUACUGCUCGGCUCGAGUCCCGGAGAGGGUAGUGGAAUUCCCAGUGUAGCGGUGAAAUGCGUAGAUACUGGGAGGAGCACCGGUGGCGAAGGCGGCUACCUGGACGGGUACUGACGCUGAGGCGCGAGAGCUAGGGGAGCAAACAGG
This 253-nucleotide ribosomal RNA is filed under the name uncultured bacterium. RNAcentral describes it as "partial 16S ribosomal RNA". It matches the Rfam family "Bacterial small subunit ribosomal RNA", at positions 524 to 776 of the family's 1533-position model. The record is from RNAcentral.